Molecule: ribosomal RNA, 440 nt
Filed under: uncultured bacterium
Lineage: Bacteria
Description: partial 16S ribosomal RNA
Rfam family: Bacterial small subunit ribosomal RNA
Source: RNAcentral
CCUACGGGAGGCAGCAGUGGGGAAUAUUGCACAAUGGCGGAAACCCUGAUGCAGCGACGCCGCGUGAGUGAAGAAGUAAUUCGUUAUGUAAAGCUCUAUCAGCAGGGGAGAAAAGGACGGUACCUGAGUAAGAAGCCCCGGCUAACUACGUGCCAGCAGCCGCGGUAAUACGGAGGGGGCAGGCGUUAUCCGGAUUUACUGGGUGUAAAGGGAGCGUAGACGGCAGUGCAAGUCUGGAGUGAAAGGCUGGGGCUCAACCCCCGGACUGCUCUGGAAACUGUACGGCUGGAGUGCACGGGAGGUAAGUGGAAUUCCUGGUGUAGCGGUGAAAUGCGUAGAUAUUAUGAAGAACACCAGUGGCGAAGGCGGCUUACCGGACUGUAACUGACGUUGAGGCUCGAAAGCGUGGGGAGCAAACAGGAUUAGAUACCCUUGUAGUC